GCCAUCCUAGCUCAGUCGGUAGAGCAGCUGAUUCGUAAUCAGCAGGUCGAGGGUUCGAGUCCCUUGGAUGGCUCCA
This 76-nucleotide transfer RNA is filed under the name Deltaproteobacteria bacterium. RNAcentral describes it as "tRNA-Thr". It matches the Rfam family "tRNA". From Rfam's summary of the family: Transfer RNA (tRNA) molecules are approximately 80 nucleotides in length. Their secondary structure includes four short double-helical elements and three loops (D, anti-codon, and T loops). Lineage: Bacteria; Pseudomonadati; Myxococcota; Myxococcia. The record is from RNAcentral.